GAGUGAAAUAGAACCUGAAACCGUGUGCUUACAAGUAGUCAGAGCCCGUUAAUGGGUGAUGGCGUGCCUUUUGUAGAAUGAACCGGCGAGUUACGAUUUGAUGCAAGGUUAAGCAGUAAAUGUGGAGCCGUAGCGAAAGCGAGUCUGAAUAGGGCGUUUAGUAUUUGGUCGUAGACCCGAAACCAGGUGAUCUACCCUUGGUCAGGUUGAAGUUCAGGUAACACUGAAUGGAGGACCGAACCGACUUACGUUGAAAAGUGAGCGGAUGAACUGAGGGUAGCGGAGAAAUUCCAAUCGAACCUGGAGAUAGCUGGUUCUCUCCGAAAUAGCUUUAGGGCUAGCCUCAAGUGAUGAUUAUUGGAGGUAGAGCACUGUUUGGACGAGGGGCCCCUCUCGGGUUACCGAAUUCAGACAAACUCCGAAUGCCAAUUAAUUUAACUUGGGAGUCAGAACAUGGGUGAUAAGGUCCGUGUUCGAAAGGGAAACAGCCCAGACCACCAGCUAAGGUCCCAAAAUAUAUGUUAAGUGGAAAAGGAUGUGGCGUUGCCCAGACAACUAGGAUGUUGGCUUAGAAGCAGCCAUCAUUUAAAGAGUGCGUAAUAGCUCACUAGUCGAGUGACACUGCGCCGAAAAUGUACCGGGGCUAAACAUAUUACCGAAGCUGUGGAUUGUCCUUUGGACAAUGGUAGGAGAGCGUUCUAAGGGCGUUGAAGCAUGAUCGUAAGGACAUGUGGAGCGCUUAGAAGUGAGAAUGCCGGUGUGAGUAGCGAAAGACGGGUGAGAAUCCCGUCCACCGAUUGACUAAGGUUUCCAGAGGAAGGCUCGUCCGCUCUGGGUUAGUCGGGUCCUAAGCUGAGGCCGACAGGCGUAGGCGAUGGAUAACAGGUUGAUAUUCCUGUACCACCUAUAAUCGUUUUAAUCGAUGGGGGGACGCAGUAGGAUAGGCGAAGCGUGCGAUUGGAUUGCACGUCUAAGCAGUAAGGCUGAGUAUUAGGCAAAUCCGGUACUCGUUAAGGCUGAGCUGUGAUGGGGAGAAGACAUUGAGUCUUCGAGUCGUUGAUUUCACACUGCCGAGAAAAGCCUCUAGAUAGAAAAUAGGUGCCCGUACCGCAAACCGACACAGGUAGUCAAGAUGAGAAUUCUAAGGUGAGCGAGCGAACUCUCGUUAAGGAACUCGGCAAAAUGACCCCGUAACUUCGGGAGAAGGGGUGCUCUUUAGGGUUAACGCCCAGAAGAGCCGCAGUGAAUAGGCCCAAGCGACUGUUUAUCAAAAACACAGGUCUCUGCUAAACCGUAAGGUGAUGUAUAGGGGCUGACGCCUGCCCGGUGCUGGAAGGUUAAGAGGAGUGGUUAGCUUCUGCGAAGCUACGAAUCGAAGCCCCAGUAAACGGCGGCCGUAACUAUAACGGUCCUAAGGUAGCGAAAUUCCUUGUCGGGUAAGUUCCGACCCGCACGAAAGGCGUAACGAUUUGGGCACUGUCUCAACGAGAGACUCGGUGAAAUCAUAGUACCUGUGAAGAUGCAGGUUACCCGCGACAGG
This 1540-nucleotide ribosomal RNA is filed under the name Staphylococcus aureus M0810. RNAcentral describes it as "bacterial LSU rRNA". It matches the Rfam family "Bacterial large subunit ribosomal RNA", at positions 536 to 2079 of the family's 2925-position model. The record is from RNAcentral. Lineage: Bacteria; Bacillati; Bacillota; Bacilli; Caryophanales; Staphylococcaceae.